UAUGGAUUUGCCUGUGACGCCUGGUAUGCCAUGUUUUUUUUUCUUUACCGGGUUUUAUUUCUUCAAUUUGCUGUUUUUUUUCCCUUAGAAAUGACUGCUAUUUUUUUUUCCCGGUAUAAUUCUUCAGUUUGGACACUGUUUUAUUAAGAGGAAGAAAUUGGUAAUUUACUUUUCUUCAAAUGAAGGGAUAAUUUGAUAAUGAGGAACAUUGUGUGAUAAAUGGACGACAAAAUCAAUCGUUCAUGGAAAUGGUGGGUGUUCAACUUAUUUGGGCUUAUGCCCUACUCCAUUUUGGUCAUCCUUACUAUAAAGUUUUGGUGAAUCUCAACUCCAAGGUUGCUCUAGAUGUUAAAUAACCAGUCCAUAUCAUGCCAUUCAUGCGCUGAUUCCUAUCCUAUUGCAAGGGUAGUUUUAAAGGCUGCCAUGUCUAGAAUUUUUGGUUGUAUAGGCUGUGGUGCCUGGAUGGAAUGGAAUUCCUCUCAUGGUAUGCAAGCAAAUAGGAUAUUCAAAUUUUUUCUUCUAUUCAGGUUGUCCAGCAUCAAAGCACGCUCGCAACUGGGACUAGAUUUUCUUGUUUAUCAACAAAACUUGUUAACCUCAUGGAACAAAAUAAUGCUUUGCAGUAAAUCUUAAAUGAGACAUCUGGUUCUCAAUUUCACCUUUUCUUUACUAUUUCUCUCUUUCUUCAGUGUUGAAGAGAGAAUGCUAAUGAUGAGAUAUAAAGAUGUCUAUGAAAAUUUCAAGUCUUGUUAUACAGUAUGAUAAUACAAAGAUGAAUAUUUCUUUGCACUAGAACACAGUUCGGGAAUAUUUUGGGUGGUCU
Molecule: unclassified non-coding RNA, 823 nt
Filed under: Hevea brasiliensis (rubber tree)
Lineage: Eukaryota; Viridiplantae; Streptophyta; Magnoliopsida; Malpighiales; Euphorbiaceae
Source: RNAcentral